GGGCCUGUAGCUUAACCUGGGAAAGUACACGACUGAAGCUCGUGUUAUUGUGACUGAUUAACAGGAAUUGUUAGUUGGCAAUAAGGUUCAAAUCCCACCGGGCCCA
This 106-nucleotide transfer RNA is filed under the name Candidatus Woesearchaeota archaeon. Its description in RNAcentral is "tRNA-Phe". It matches the Rfam family "tRNA". From Rfam's summary of the family: Transfer RNA (tRNA) molecules are approximately 80 nucleotides in length. Their secondary structure includes four short double-helical elements and three loops (D, anti-codon, and T loops). Further hydrogen bonds mediate the characteristic L-shaped molecular structure. tRNAs have two regions of fundamental functional importance: the anti-codon, which is responsible for specific mRNA codon recognition, and the 3' end, to which the tRNAs corresponding amino acid is attached (by aminoacyl-tRNA synthetases). tRNAs cope with the degeneracy of the genetic code in two manners: having more than one tRNA (with a specific anti-codon) for a particular amino acid; and 'wobble' base-pairing, i.e. permitting non-standard base-pairing at the 3rd anti-codon position. Lineage: Archaea; Nanobdellati; Candidatus Woesearchaeota. The record is from RNAcentral.